RNAcentral lists this unclassified non-coding RNA (197 nucleotides) under plant metagenome. RNAcentral describes it as "partial contains small subunit ribosomal RNA and internal transcribed spacer 1". The stretch from base 1 to 46 matches the Rfam family "Eukaryotic small subunit ribosomal RNA", at positions 1786 to 1831 of the family's 1831-position model. The record is from RNAcentral.
AAGUCGUAACAAGGUCUCCGUAGGUGAACCUGCGGAGGGAUCAUUACCGAGUGCGGGCCUCCGUGCCCAACCUCCAACCCUUUGUCGAUGACUAUCUGUUGCCUCGGGGGGGCGACCCGGACCUCGUGCCGGGAGUCCCCCAGAGGUCCAUCAAACACUGCGUCUUUGCGUCGGAGUAUUGAAAUCAAUCAAUUAAA